AUCCGGCUGAUGAGUCCCAAAUAGGAUGAAACGUGGGUCGUGGAU
Molecule: non-coding RNA, 45 nt
Organism: Schistosoma mansoni
Lineage: Eukaryota; Metazoa; Platyhelminthes; Trematoda; Strigeidida; Schistosomatidae
Source: Rfam